Molecule: small nuclear RNA, 102 nt
Organism: Arvicanthis niloticus (Nile rat)
Lineage: Eukaryota; Metazoa; Chordata; Mammalia; Rodentia; Muridae
Source: RefSeq, a predicted model, not a curated record
CACCUUGACAGCAUGUAAUACACUAAAAUUGGAAGAUUUAUAGAUAAGGUUAGCAUGGCCCCUGCCCAAGGAAGAUAAAUUCAUAAAGCAUUUACUGUUUUU